RNAcentral lists this ribosomal RNA (372 nucleotides) under uncultured bacterium. Its description in RNAcentral is "bacterial SSU rRNA". It matches the Rfam family "Bacterial small subunit ribosomal RNA", at positions 524 to 898 of the family's 1533-position model. The record is from RNAcentral.
UACGGAGGGUGCAAGCGUUAUCCGGAAUCAUUGGGUUUAAAGGGUCCGCAGGCGGGUAAAUAAGUCAGAGGUGAAAUCCGGCAGCUCAACUGUCGCACUGCCUUUGAUACUGUUUAUCUUGAAUUUUAGUGGAGUGGGCGGAAUAUGUCAUGUAGCGGUGAAAUGCUUAGAUAUGACGUGGAACACCGAUAGCGAAGGCAGCUCACUAACUAUGAAUUGACGCUCAUGGACGAAAGCGUGGGUAGCAAACAGGAGUAGAUACCAUGGGAGUCCACGCCGUAAACGAUGAUUACUCGUUGUUGGGUCUUCGGACUCAGUGACUAAGCGAAAGUGAUAAGUAAUCCACCUGGGGAGUACGAUCGCAAGGUUGAA